GGCUUAACACAUGCAAGUCGAACGGGCACUUCGGUGCUAGUGGCAGACGGGUGAGUAACACGUGGGAACGUACCUUUCGGUUCGGAAUAAUACAGGGAAACUUGUACUAAUACCGGAUACGCCCUUUGGGGGAAAGAUUUAUCGCCGAUUGAUCGGCCCGCGUCUGAUUAGCUAGUUGGUGAGGUAAUGGCUCACCAAGGCGACGAUCAGUAGCUGGUCUGAGAGGAUGAUCAGCCACACUGGGACUGAGACACGGCCCAGACUCCUACGGGAGGCAGCAGUGGGGAAUAUUGGACAAUGGGCGCAAGCCUGAUCCAGCCAUGCCGCGUGUGUGAUGAAGGCCUUAGGGUUGUAAAGCACUUUUGUCCGGGAAGAUAAUGACUGUACCGGAAGAAUAAGCCCCGGCUAACUUCGUGCCAGCAGCCGCGGUAAUACGAAGGGGGCUAGCGUUGCUCGGAAUCACUGGGCGUAAAGGGCGCGUAGGCGGACUCUUAAGUCGGGGGUGAAAGCCCAGGGCUCAACCCUGGAAUUGCCUUCGAUACUGAGAGUCUUGAGUUCGGAAGAGGUUGGUGGAACUGCGAGUGUAGAGGUGAAAUUCGUAGAUAUUCGCAAGAACACCAGUGGCGAAGGCGGCCAACUGGUCCGAUACUGACGCUGAGGCGCGAAAGCGUGGGGAGC
This 678-nucleotide ribosomal RNA is filed under the name uncultured bacterium. RNAcentral describes it as "bacterial SSU rRNA". It matches the Rfam family "Bacterial small subunit ribosomal RNA", at positions 45 to 769 of the family's 1533-position model. The record is from RNAcentral.